GGGAUGCGGUCAUGUCGCGCAGAGAUGCGCUAGAACGGCCCGAUUAUCCCAUGAGCACGGGGCACGGAGCGGGGAUUCUCCCCCAACAACCAGCUCGUUCUUUUAUUGCUCGGCACUUGGAAACAGAAGGCAGUAAGAGACAAAGCUUUUAGCAUGUCCAGCCCAAGAGCAAUGCAGAACCUGUAUUUUGCUUUAUGUACUUAUUUUAUGGAUGUCUUUGAAAAAACCAGAAGCUCACAGAACACUGAGAGAAUCCAGACCUAUUUGGCCUCAGUCUGUACUAAAGGAGGAUGCUGCCUGCUAUUUCA
Long non-coding RNA from Pipra filicauda (Wire-tailed manakin), 308 nucleotides. RefSeq lists it as uncharacterized. Lineage: Eukaryota; Metazoa; Chordata; Aves; Passeriformes; Pipridae. The record is from RefSeq and is a predicted model, not a curated record. The transcript is spliced from 2 exons.